GGGAGAGAAAAAAAAGUAUGCCUGUGUAUUUCGAGCGGAGAGCAGCAAGAGGCCUCUCCUCAAGGGAAAGAUGUGGAAACAGCAAGAGAACUAGAAUUGGAAGUAAAGCGUUGAAGAUGUGACUGAAUUGCUGCAAUCUCAUGAUCAAAUUUGAAUGGAUGAGGAGUUGCUUCUUAGGGAUAAGCUAAGAAAGUGGUUUCUUGAGAUGGAAUCUACUGGUGAAGUUGCUAUGAACAUUGUUAAAAUGACAAAGAUUUAGGAAUUACAGAAACCUGGUUGAUAAAGCAGUGCAAGGGUGUGAGAGAGUUGACUUCAAUUUUGAAAUAAGUUCCACUGGCUGAGUGUGGUGGCUCACACCUGCAAUCCCAGUACUUUGAGAGGCCGAGGCUGAUAGAUCACUUGAGGUCAGGAGUUCAAGACCAGCCUGGCCAACAUGGUGAAACCCCACCUCUACCAAAUUAGCCAGAUGUGGUACACACCUGUAGUCCCAGCUACUUGGGAAGCUGAGGCAGGAGAACCUCUUGAACCAGGGAGGAGGAGGUUGCA
Molecule: non-coding RNA, 546 nt
Filed under: Pongo abelii (Sumatran orangutan)
Lineage: Eukaryota; Metazoa; Chordata; Mammalia; Primates; Hominidae
Source: RNAcentral